RNAcentral lists this unclassified non-coding RNA (332 nucleotides) under soil metagenome. RNAcentral describes it as "partial contains 5.8S ribosomal RNA, internal transcribed spacer 2, and large subunit ribosomal RNA". The stretch from base 1 to 120 matches the Rfam family "5.8S ribosomal RNA", at positions 35 to 154 of the family's 154-position model. The record is from RNAcentral.
GAUGAAGAACGCAGCAAAAUGCGAUAAGUAAUGUGAAUUGCAGAAUUCAGUGAAUCAUCGAAUCUUUGAACGCACAUUGCGCCCGCCAGUAUUCUGGCGGGCAUGCCUGUUCGAGCGUCAUUUCAACCCUCAAGCACAGCUUGGUGUUGGGACUCGCGUUAAUUCGCGUUCCUCAAAUUGAUUGGCGGUCACGUCGAGCUUCCAUAGCGUAGUAGUAAAACCCUCGUUACUGGUAAUCGUCGCGGCCACGCCGUUAGACCCCAACUUCUGAAUGUUGACCUCGGAUCAGGUAGGAAUACCCGCUGAACUUAAGCAUAUCAAUAAGCGGAGGA